This 423-nucleotide ribosomal RNA is filed under the name uncultured bacterium. RNAcentral's name for it is "bacterial SSU rRNA". It matches the Rfam family "Bacterial small subunit ribosomal RNA", at positions 207 to 622 of the family's 1533-position model. The record is from RNAcentral.
AAGACCUUGCACUUUUGGAGCGGCCGAMGUCUGAUUAGCUAGUUGGUGGGGUAAUGGCCUACCAAAGCUUCGAUCAGUAGCUGGUCUGAGAGGACGGCCAGCCACACUGGGACUGAGACACGGCCCAGACUCCUACGGGAGGCAGCAGUGGGGAAUUUUGGACAAUGGGCGCAAGCCUGAUCCAGCCAUGCCGCGUGAGUGAAGAAGGCCUUCGGGUUGUAAAGCUCUUUCAGCCGGGAAGAAAAGGUUGCGAUUAAUAAUCGCAAUUUAUGACGGUACCGGAAGAAGAAGCGCCGGCUAACUACGUGCCAGCAGCCGCGGUAAUACGUAGGGUGCGAGCGUUAAUCGGAAUUACUGGGCGUAAAGGGUGCGCAGGCGGUUUUGUAAGUCAGAUGUGAAAUCCCCGGGCUUAACCUGGGAACU